Meleagris gallopavo (turkey) is the source of this 267-nucleotide long non-coding RNA. RefSeq lists it as uncharacterized. Lineage: Eukaryota; Metazoa; Chordata; Aves; Galliformes; Phasianidae. The record is from RefSeq and is a predicted model, not a curated record.
CUCAGGGCGGCUCCGACCACCUCCUGCUCCUCUCCACUCCCCAUUUCCUCCUGUCCCUUUCCACCACUCAGGGCUGCACUCCUGACCCGGUGCAGAGCCUGGGCCCUAUUAAUAGCAGUGCCCGCAGCGCUGCUCCGUGCACCAGGCGGAUCCUGCAGGAGGGCUGCAGUGAGGGCAGUGCUGUCCUUGUCCCACACGCAGCCCUGCGAGGCCCUUCCCUCCAAGCAGCAUGACAACAGGACAAGCGAUUUCUAUUCUUUCCCAAAA